CCUACGGGUGGCAGCAGUGGGGAAUAUUGGACAAUGGGCGAAAGCCUGAUCCAGCCAUGCCGCGUGUGUGAAGAAGGCCUUCGGGUUGUGAAGCACUUUCAGUGGGGAAGAAAGCCUUGGGGCUAAUACCCUCGAGGAAGGACAUCACCCACAGAAGAAGCACCGGCUAACUCCGUGCCAGCAGCCGCGGUAAUACGGAGGGUGCGAGCGUUAAUCGGAAUUACUGGGCGUAAAGCGCGCGUAGGCGGUCUGAUAAGCCGGUUGUGAAAGCCCCGGGCUCAACCUGGGAACGGCAUCCGGAACUGUCAGGCUAGAGUGCAGGAGAGGAAGGUAGAAUUCCCGGUGUAGCGGUGAAAUGCGUAGAGAUCGGGAGGAAUACCAGUGGCGAAGGCGGCCUUCUGGACUGACACUGACGCUGAGGUGCGAAAGCGUGGGUAGCAAACAGGAUUAGAUACCCGAGUAGUC
RNAcentral lists this ribosomal RNA (465 nucleotides) under Vreelandella stevensii. RNAcentral's name for it is "partial 16S ribosomal RNA". It matches the Rfam family "Bacterial small subunit ribosomal RNA", at positions 338 to 795 of the family's 1533-position model. The record is from RNAcentral. Lineage: Bacteria; Pseudomonadati; Pseudomonadota; Gammaproteobacteria; Oceanospirillales; Halomonadaceae.